Molecule: long non-coding RNA, 2789 nt
Organism: Cyprinus carpio carpio
Lineage: Eukaryota; Metazoa; Chordata; Actinopteri; Cypriniformes; Cyprinidae
Source: Ensembl
GUGGCAGAUAAUAGAUCUUUGGCCACAGUGCUGUUACAAUGGACUUCUGUAGCCUGGCCAACCACAAGGAGUUUGUUACAGUGGAACAUCUCAUCUUCUGUUGGAGAAAGGUUGUCUGGGAACAUACUGGAACGGAUUCUUUCUUUUUUUAUUCAUACUGUCUGGUUCUGUGCAAAGUGUUUGGCAAGAUCUGACUGUUUAGACGUUGAAAGUGCUUUGCAUUGGAUUACAACAUUAAGGUCCUCUUGUGUUUUAUCCUGAGAAAAAUCCCCCUUUUCCCUCCAGGGGUGUUAUGUGUAACAUAUACAGUAUAUGACUGAUUAUCCAACAAGCACAAGAAUGAAGCAGAAUUUUAAUGAAUGCAUCUUAAAUUACAAAGCAAUUGUGAGUUUCUAAAGCUAAUAUGACUAAAGUGUGAAGUUUAAAAAUGUGCACAUUCAAAUCAGAUGACACUUCCAUCUCCUUCAUUUUGUGGAGCUUAGAAAUCCAAAGUAGUCAAAAGUAACAUUAAAGCAUUAAAGAUAAAAUGUUCCACUAUAUUUAUAUGCAGUAUCUGUAUCUCACUUGCUUUUUCUUUGAAAAGCUUUUUACAUAACGGUUGAAACUUAGAAUACAUAAUUUUAUGAAAUAUUUAAUAAACUUUCAUUUUACGAACGUCAUACAUUGAAAGCAUAAAGUGUAUUGUUGCAUCUAAAAUUGACUUUUCAGUAAGCGUUGGCUUACACUCUGUUGAAGCCCACAUCCGGUUUAUUCAGAACUCAGUUUAGUAAUUGCAACAGAUAAUGACAUCAGUUCACACCACUAAUAUUUCCCCUGUCUUAUUCACAGAACAGUGAUCUGUAUAGGAAAACAGUUGUUCUCACUGUAUGUUUUAUAUCUGUUUUACAUGUUGAGAGUCUCUCAAUAAUAACACCAUUGAUAUCCAUUGCCAUUGUCAGGUGGCUGCUGAAGCUCCUGUAAUGUCUGCUGGGAUAGCCAUGUUUACCACCCUCAACCUCAGGCUGUUCCCCAUUGAGAGCUUCAUGCCCAACAAGGGUGCAGCACACCGAAUCCCCCCUGAUUCAGGAGCUCAUGUAAACAACCUGCGGGCAGCACCUCCUCUCCCCAGACUGUACCCGGUUACUAAGAUCUCAUACUGCUCCCAUAAAGAACACCUCCAGAUUUCUCCAGAAGUCUUUUUUAUUUCUUUUACAGGGACAUCUGUAAACUCAGCUGUGUUGGAUUGCGACAUGGCCUUUAUCAGAAAAUUGGGGUGUGCAGUUAAGCCAUCUAUAUACAGGAGAUUACAUGCCUCAUUGCUCCCGUCCUCCAUCACAGACUGAGCAGAGCAUAUGCAUUGAGUUGCGCUGUGUUUACCACAACCACGCGGUCUCUCCAUUACAGAAGAACGCUGUGAUGACAGGUAUUCCAGUCCCUGAUUUUGAGCCCUGUUAUGACAUCUCUCCUCCCUUCUCCACCCACCUGCUUCUUAACGCUGGUCCUUGACUUAAUGUGGCCGUCAUGGUGACUGUCUAGGACAGAUGAGAGCUAAUUGAAAUAGAAGGCUGCUUCUCACUGAUCUAGACUGACAGCAUCCCCUCGCCAGAAGUGACUGUACCACCCCAUGCUGGCAGUUUUCACAGUGAAAGAAAAGUGUGUGGUGGUGAAAAAGGCAGGCUGUGCUGCGAGUACUUGGGCUGCCUGCCAAAGCUGCCGGAUGAGUUUAUUAAAAACAAGAAGAGAGAUGCAUAUAUUUCCAUUUUGUACCCUCAAAGAAUAAUAGCAAGGUUUUGAGCUAUGUGCUGCGAAGGACUGACCCUUUCCGACAUACUAUCAGCGAUCACAAUGAGCCAGGCUCGGGGAUGGAGCGAAUAGCGCAGCACACAGUCUAAAUAAUUUCACAUGCCGGGCAUGUCAGUUUUGAUGUAAUGAGCUCUGAUUUUGUCAUCCAGUGCUGUGCAGAUAGGUUAAUCAUUUUCAUUAACACCACCUCCUCUGAGAGACCUUUUCCUCUCCAGUGCUGUCAGCGGUACGUUGGCUUGGCGAGCGCUCAGACCCCGGCGCCCCUCAGAUGUGUUAGUCUAGUGCCAGAAAAGACUGAAUCGAUGCACACAGACAGGCAAGGACCCCUCAGCGGGCCCUGAGUGGACGGCUGUGAUUACUGCUGACAAUAAUUUAUGGGCCUGGCUGAUUGAAAACAUGAGAGAUGUAGUUAGAGUUGCAAGGGUGAUUAGGCACCACCUUAAGAUACAAAGAUGGUGUCACAGCUGCUGCUGGGAGAAAGUCUGCAGCCGUUCGCCGCAUGCCUUCUGCCCUGCAGUAAAAACCGGAAUUGCACCCCACGUCUGUGCCCCCUGCCAGCCCAUACACAUGCGCAUAGAACUGAUUAUAUUGCAUUAAACUGUUCUUGUGCAUCAUUUUUUAUUCUGCCUUUUUACAUUAGAAUCAAAGUUCCAUAUGUAGAUUUGGUGAGAGUAGAUAACAUGCAUUUAUUCCUAUGGUUUUGAGGAAAUCAUUCAUAGUCAAAAUCAUUCAUUUGCUGUAAACUGUGAACUCUUUAUCAUAAUACACAAUCCUCAACACUUCAGAUCUGCUUUCAGUAACACCUCCAUCCUUUACAUAUUCAUCUGGUCUUUCUCACCCCAGAGGGAGAAUUACCGUGGCUGUAAAACAAUGCCUACACAUCUAAUAUCAUAUUGACUGUUGCAUAUCAAAAAUGUUUUUGUGGUUUCAAUGAAUUUAGUUUGCGUUGUAGACAAUAAAUCAACAUGUAUUUUCAGUGUUCUGUAUUGAGGUUUGAUUUAAAAUUC